Lolium perenne is the source of this 2321-nucleotide non-coding RNA. Lineage: Eukaryota; Viridiplantae; Streptophyta; Magnoliopsida; Poales; Poaceae. The record is from RefSeq and is a predicted model, not a curated record.
GUAUCAAUAUAAUAUACAUAAAUUAUUUCAAUUUUCUAAGACGUUAAAAUAACAGUUUUCGAACUUUUAGCCUCUAAAAACUGGUUUUGAACUCCACGUCCCAACUCAUUUUUAACAUGCGCCUGCAGCCCUGCAUCCCAGGAUUGUGUCACGCGAAACCAAAUUGCCCCCGUUCCCACGUGCCGCCAUCGUUCCUCGCCUCCCGUCCAAUGGCCGCCGCGGUGACAGAGGCGUUCCGCGUGUUCAGAAGCCCAAAGGCUCCGCGGAAGAAGAAGCAGGCGUGGUUGCCCGUGCUGCGGCGGUGCCAUCUCCCCCUGCUGGGCCUCCGGCGUCAUCGAUGCAGAAGUCCACAACGUGUUCGUCGGAAUGCUUGAGAGAGCGGAGCUCAACAGGCCAUCAACGACAUCUGCCAAGGGUUUUCUUGGUUCCGGCAAAUAUCUACAUUGCUCCAUUUCUGCGCUGUAUUCGGUGGAAAUGCUUUGCUACAUUGCGCAUAACAGUGAUCAUGGGCUCCGCACGAAGUAGCUAGGCGCUGGAGGGAAGUUCCUCACCCAUGCCAAGAUGGUCGUAUUUCUCCUACCCAAUCCGUUGUAAUAGUGGAGUGGUCCUUCUGUUUGCUGGGGAAGUGAAGUAGUCUGGUUGUCAUGUUGGACUGUGGACCGAUGUAAUCAAAAAUUGAAUUUACGUGUGGGUUAUCAGGUUAUGCAACAUAAAACCAGUACUAUCGGGUCCGUGUUCAGAAUCUCUCUCUCAUGGUUGUGAUUUUCUUAUUACUAUCAAGCAACUUAUUGUACAGCUGCUUUAUGGUAAAACCUUUCUAAGCCACGUAUUUCUUGGUGUUUCGAAUUUUUUUGAGAUAUUCCAUUUAUGUGAUAGUAUAUCUACCUUCCAUCUUUCCGUGGUAUUCAAUAUUUACCUAGGUAGUGAUGAACCAAUAUGUUCAGCUAGAUAUAAUUAUUUUCUUUCACUGUCAGCUAGCUGUUUGGUUCCUUCAGUUCUCUGAUCUGCUUGAUGAACAUGGCUCACAGCAGGGUAGACUGCAGGCUUCAGAUGACCUGCUGAGAUUCACGAUAUGCAAGUAUGUGCCCUUACAACCCAACGGAGGUUGCUACCUGUGGUGGUCGACAUGGAAUGUGCUUAGUUGAUCGCCGCUAUGCUCGGAAUAGUUCCCAAGACAAGUGGAUAACUGCUGUCUCUUUGGGGGACAUAACAAUAAGCAUCUAAUACCAAUACAUGGCUCCCCAAAUAAAAGCCAGUAUAAGGCAGCGAACCUUGCAAGUUGAUGAAUGAGGUACCUGAUCAUUCUGCUAUUCCAUCCAUGACUCCAGAAGCCAGUGUGAGCUGGAGGCUGGGCACACCCGACACGAUGGUGCAAACAUAGUUCUGAACUGAACCAAAAGAAAGGCAUGCUCGAUGCUCCAUAUACAAGUCCAAUGCAACCACUGAGCUCAAACAAUUAUGUUGUUUCUUCUAUAAUUCUAUGGAUUAUGUGUUUGGAGGUGCAAUCAUUAAGCUGUGCCACAUGUCUGUUUUGGUACUUGAGUCUUUAAGUGUGCACACAGUGUUGGUGCAAGCUGAGGUACAAUUGGCUAAUCUUCUUCAGUUUUCCAGGUUUCAGUGAAGAUGGCUAUUUCAUACUGGUGGAUGCCAAUAUCUUGCUGAACAGAAAGUGGCAGGCCUGGUGGGUAUCAAUAUCUUCCUUAACAGGAAGUGGUAGGGACCUAGGCGCAUGAAGUUCACCAUGUUUUAUCUUCGUUACAGAGUUGAUAAAAGAAAUGCUCUUUUCAUGCCUGGCCCUUACAACUAUAUUACUGGACUCAAAUGAUCAUGCUAUUUCUUCUAUUGCAAGUGUAUGGACACGGAGACCCAGCGAUGAAGCUGUGCUCUCAUUCUCAUCUAUGUCUGUUUUGGUAGCUGAGCUACAGAUGCAGGCAGAAAAAGUUGGUGAAGUUUGUGUGCCAAAAUGCAUCAACAGGUAUUAACAUACUAUUUUUAUACCAUAUAUUUUUGUUCUAGAACGCUGCUGGUUUUAUUUUUCACAACCGAAGAGCAGCCUAAGACACAUCAUAACAGAAACAAUCUUGAUUACUGGCCCAAUUUGAAUUUUGGCAAAGCUUUACAUGAGCUCAGCUAAAAGAGGAGGGGAUGAAUGCAGUGGCGGCUCCAGGAUUUACAUACUAGGUAUUCAUUGCAAAAAAAAAUCUCAAAGCAAUAUAUGAACAAAAACGGCUGCUAUGUAGUAUAAGACAUAUGACCAUAAUUUUAGUACCACUAUAACAAUUUUUAAAUCAAGUAUCAAUACGUCAAUACUUCUUUUUUGC